GAUGAACGCUGGCGGCGUGCCUAAUACAUGCAAGUCGAGCGAACGGACGAGAAGCUUGCUUCUCUGAUGUUAGCGGCGGACGGGUGAGUAACACGUGGAUAACCUACCUAUAAGACUGGGAUAACUUCGGGAAACCGGAGCUAAUACCGGAUAAUAUUUUGAACCGCAUGGUUCAAAAGUGAAAGACGGUCUUGCUGUCACUUAUAGAUGGAUCCGCGCUGCAUUAGCUAGUUGGUAAGGUAACGGCUUACCAAGGCAACGAUGCAUAGCCGACCUGAGAGGGUGAUCGGCCACACUGGAACUGAGACACGGUCCAGACUCCUACGGGAGGCAGCAGUAGGGAAUCUUCCGCAAUGGGCGAAAGCCUGACGGAGCAACGCCGCGUGAGUGAUGAAGGUCUUCGGAUCGUAAAACUCUGUUAUUAGGGAAGAACAUAUGUGUAAGUAACUGUGCACAUCUUGACGGUACCUAAUCAGAAAGCCACGGCUAACUACGUGCCAGCAGCCGCGGUAAUACGUAGGUGGCAAGCGUUAUCCGGAAUUAUUGGGCGUAAAGCGCGCGUAGGCGGUUUUUUAAGUCUGAUGUGAAAGCCCACGGCUCAACCGUGGAGGGUCAUUGGAAACUGGAAAACUUGAGUGCAGAAGAGGAAAGUGGAGUUCCAUGUGUAGCGGUGAAAUGCGCAGAGAUAUGGAGGAACACCAGUGGCGAAGGCGACUUUCUGGUCUGUAACUGACGCUGAUGUGCGAAAGCGUGGGGAUCAAACAGGAUUAGAUACCCUGGUAGUCCACGCCGUAAACGAUGAGUGCUAGGUGUUAGGGGGUUUCCGCCCCUUAGUGCUGCAGCUAACGCAUUAAGCACUCCGCCUGGGGAGUACGACCGCAAGGUUGAAACUCAAAGGAAUUGACGGGGACCCGCACAAGCGGUGGAGCAUGUGGUUUAAUUCGAAGCAACGCGAAGAACCUUACCAAAUCUUGACAUCCUUUGACAACUCUAGAGAUAGAGCCUUCCCCUUCGGGGGACAAAGUGACAGGUGGUGCAUGGUUGUCGUCAGCUCGUGUCGUGAGAUGUUGGGUUAAGUCCCGCAACGAGCGCAACCCUUAAGCUUAGUUGCCAUCAUUAAGUUGGGCACUCUAAGUUGACUGCCGGUGACAAACCGGAGGAAGGUGGGGAUGACGUCAAAUCAUCAUGCCCCUUAUGAUUUGGGCUACACACGUGCUACAAUGGACAAUACAAAGGGCAGCGAAACCGCGAGGUCAAGCAAAUCCCAUAAAGUUGUUCUCAGUUCGGAUUGUAGUCUGCAACUCGACUACAUGAAGCUGGAAUCGCUAGUAAUCGUAGAUCAGCAUGCUACGGUGAAUACGUUCCCGGGUCU
RNAcentral lists this ribosomal RNA (1372 nucleotides) under uncultured bacterium. RNAcentral's name for it is "bacterial SSU rRNA". It matches the Rfam family "Bacterial small subunit ribosomal RNA", at positions 28 to 1381 of the family's 1533-position model. The record is from RNAcentral.